AAGGAAUAUUGGUCAAUGGGCGGAAGCCUGAACCAGCCAUCCCGCGUGCAGGAUGACUGCCCUAUGGGUUGUAAACUGCUUUUAUCUGGGAAUAAACCACUCUAUUUAUGGGGUGUUGAAGGUACCAGAAGAAUAAGCACCGGCUAACUCCGUGCCAGCAGCCGCGGUAAUACGGAGGGUGCAAGCGUUAUCCGGAAUCACUGGGUUUAAAGGGUGCGUAGGCGGCUAUAUAAGUCAGGGGUGAAAGGCUACAGCUUAACUGUGGAAUUGCCUUUGAUACUGUAUAGCUUGAAUAAGGAUGAGGUUGGCGGAAUGUGGCAUGUAGCGGUGAAAUGCAUAGAUAUGCCAUAGAACACCAAUUGCGAAGGCAGCUAACUGGACCUUUAUUGACGCUGAGGCACGAAAGCGUGGGGAUCAAAC
This 420-nucleotide ribosomal RNA is filed under the name uncultured bacterium. RNAcentral's name for it is "bacterial SSU rRNA". It matches the Rfam family "Bacterial small subunit ribosomal RNA", at positions 356 to 773 of the family's 1533-position model. The record is from RNAcentral.